GAUGAAGAACGUAGCAAAAUGCGAUAAGUAAUGUGAAUUGCAGAAUUCAGUGAAUCAUCGAAUCUUUGAACGCACAUUGCGCCCGCCAGUAUUCUGGCGGGCAUGCCUGUUCGAGCGUCAUUUCAACCCUCAAGCACAGCUUGGUGUUGGGAUUCGUGAGGUAAACUCACGGUCCCCAAAUUGAUUGGCGGUCACGUCGAGCUUCCAUAGCGUAGUAAUUACACCUCGUUACUGGUAAUCGUCGCGGCCACGCCGUUAAACCCCAACUUCUGAAUGUUGACCUCGGAUCAGGUAGGAAUACCCGCUGAACUUAAGCAUAUCAAUAAGCGGAGGA
This 334-nucleotide unclassified non-coding RNA is filed under the name soil metagenome. RNAcentral describes it as "partial contains 5.8S ribosomal RNA, internal transcribed spacer 2, and large subunit ribosomal RNA". The stretch from base 1 to 120 matches the Rfam family "5.8S ribosomal RNA", at positions 35 to 154 of the family's 154-position model. The record is from RNAcentral.